Molecule: transfer RNA, 68 nt
Filed under: Bemisia afer
Lineage: Eukaryota; Metazoa; Arthropoda; Insecta; Hemiptera; Aleyrodidae
Description: tRNA-Ile
Source: RNAcentral
UCUAGAAUGCCUGAUUAAAGGGUUACUAUGAUAUAGUAAAUAACGUAGUGUACUAUCUACUUCUAGAG